CAGGGAACAAUGUUAAGAAGGAUUAGAGAUAAAUCUCCACACUGAUUUUCAUUCAUAGUUUAUGGUACAUAUAUACAGGUGUGAUGACUAUGUUUGUUACAUUCAAAACUGAAUAACAAAUCAUCAAAAACUGAAUAACAAUUCAAUAGAGUUGGUUGAGAUAUUUUUUCAAAACAGGUAGAAUAGGUUUGUCCUUAUCCAUUAUCUUUAACACCCUCCUGCAAGCUGAUUGGCAUAGGAAUGACGGUAAGCUUGGAACGUAGCAUUUUGAACUUUGGUGAAGAUAUGCCUUUAGUCAUGACAUCUGCAAUUUGAGAUUCACUCGGGAUGAAGAGAACUCGUAAUUUUCGUUGGCGAACCAUGUCACGAACAAAGUGAACAUCAAUCUCAAUAUGUUUGGUACGACAAUGAAAGACUGGAUUAGCAGUUAAAUAGGUCGCACUAAUAUUGUCGCAAUAUAGUACCGGAGAAUUGUUGGAGGAUAUUUCUAAAUCUGAUAGAAGAUAUUGAAGCCAUUGGAUUUCAGCCGCAGCAUUUGCAAUACCACGAUAUUCAGCUUCCGUGCUUGAUCGUGAAACAGUUUUCUGUUUCUUAGCAGACCAUGAUACAAGAUUAGAGCCAAUAUAUAUAGCAUAACCAGAUGUCGAGCGACGAUCAUCAGGACAACCUGCCCAGUCAGCAUCUGAAUAACAAGAGAUAUCGAAGGAAUAAUUCUUCGUAAUGUGAAUUCCAUAAUCAAGAGUGCCUUUUAGGUAGCGCAAAAUUCUUUUGACAGUAUUAAAAUGCGAAGUGCGAGGUGCAUGCAUGAAUUGACACACCUGAUUGACUGCAUAAGUAAGGUCAGGUCGCGUAAAGGUUAAAUAUUGUAAGCCUCCAACUAUACGUCUAUAUUCAGUAGCAUCAGGUAGUAGAUCACCAUCAAAUAGAGAUAAUUUCGAUCCAGGAGCAAUUGGAGAGGAAAUUGGUUUACAUCCAUCCAUAUGGCAUUUACGGAGCAGACUAAGAGAAUAUUUUGUUUGAUUCAAAAAUAACCCCUUACGGUCCAACAUGGCAUGUAUUCCAAGGAAGUAAUUCAAGGUUCCUAAAUUUUUCAUAUCAAAGCGAACUUGUAAAUCUGUAAGAAGAUUGGCCAAUAAUGUCGCAUUACUUCCGGUGACAAUAAUAUCAUCCACGUAAACAAGUAAUAUGAGAAUGCCUGAAUUCAAUUUCUUAAUAAAUAAAGAGGAAUCUGCAGUGCUAGAAUGAAAACCCAAGUGAAGGAGAUAGCCGCUGAAGCUUUGAAACCAAGCUCGUGGAGCUUGCUUAAGACCAUAUAUUGCUUUGCGCAACCGACAUACGUGUGAAGGGUAUAAGGGAUCAACAAAUCCUGGAGGUUGUAACAUAUAUACCUCCUCAUUUAAUGUGCCAUGCAAAAAGGCAUUUUUAACAUCUAAUUGCAUAAUUGGCCAUUCUUUGGAGAGUGCAAGCGAAAGGACGAUACGAAUAGUUUGCAGUUUAACUACUAGACUAAAUGUAUCAUCGUAAUCAAGUCCUUCUUGUUGAUGAAAUCCUUUAGCAACCAAACGAGCUUUGAAGCGUUCAACACUGCCAUCAGAUUUUUGUUUAACCUUAUACACCCACUUGCAACCAAUAAUAUUGCAAUUUGACGGUGGAGGAACAAGUGACCAUGUCUGAUUCUUGAGUAAAGCAUUGAAUUCUUCUGCCAUAGCAUGGCGCCAUUGAGGAUCUUUAGAGGCUUCAGAAUAUGAUGUAGGUUCAGAAGGAAGCUCAUCAUUAGUAAUUUGCAAGCAAUAUUGGGGCACUGGGUGUCGAGAGGUAUGAAAAACCUUUGGUUUGCGUGUACCAUCUUUGCUGCAUGUUAUCAUGGGAUGACAUGUUCUUGUGGAGGUGUCAACAGGAUUUGUAGAAGGGACAGAUUCAACAUCUAAACUUGUGGGCUCUGGUAGAUUGGAUUGGGGAAGGCUUAUAGAAUCAAGAAUAGUAUCGGAUGGUUGAAUGUUUUGUGGAGAAGAAGUUAAUAGAGAUGGUGGACAAAUAGGAAAUGAGUACCUCUGUUGUUUGGGAAUGGAAUCAGGUGAUGUAGAAAUGGAUUUGGAAGACAACUCUGCAUAGGGAAAUCGUGACUCAUCAAAAUGAACAUGACGGGAUAUAAAGACGCGUCCAUCGGAUAAACUUAAGCAUCUAUAACCUUUAUGAUGAGGACUAUAUCCUAUGAAAACACAACAAGUAGACCUCGGAGUAAAUUUAUUCAAAGAAUAGCUGCGUAAAUAAGGAUAGCAAGCACAUCCAAAAACACGUAGGUGAUGAUAAUUUGGAGAAGUACAAAAUAGAGUUUCAAGAGGGGAUAGGUUUUGUAAGCAAGGUGUAGGUAAUCGAUUUAUUAGAUACACACUUGUUAAAAGGGCAUCAACCCAUAAAGUAGAUGGCGCUUGGGACUGAUAUAGAAGUGUCAAACCCAUUUCAGUUAUAUGGCGAUGUUUUCUUUCGGAAACACCGUUUUGUUCAGGCGUAUGGGGGCAUGAGAGUUGGCGAAUAAUUCCGCAAUUUUCAAGGUGUGUAACAAAUGUUUUAGAAAUAUACUCGCCACCACCAUCACUUUGCAAAAUUUUAAUUUUGGUGUUAAAUUGAUUUUCUACCAUUUUUUGAAAUUUAAGAAAGCAUGAAAAAACUUCAGAUUUAUUAUGCAUAGGAUAAAACCAAACAAAUCUACUAUAGCUAUCAAUGAAAAUUACAUAAAAUCGAUAGCCAGUGAUUGAAGGAACAGGAGAUGGACCCCAAACAUCAGUAGAAAUAAUUUCAAGAGGAGCAGAGGCCCUUUUAUUUAAAACUGGAAAAGGCAACUUAGUUUGCUUACUAGAAUAGCAACUAUCACAUAAAGAUUUGGAAUCGAACAUACUAGAGAAUUUUAUUGCAGCAUUCUUGUUUAAAUGAUUUGCCACUUGUUGUGAAGGAUGGCCCAGUCGUUGAUGCCAAAUAUUUGGAGAAGCCCUCUUUGUAGAAAGAAAAAUAGCUUUUGGAGAAUUGAGAGAAUAAAGACCAUUAUGAUGAGAUUCCUGUAGCAGAGUCAUUUUGUUUUCCUGAUCCUUAACAAAACAAGCAGAGGGGGUGAACUCAAGAGAACAAUUAUUUUCGCGAGUAAACUUGCUAACAGAGAGAAGGUUCUUUUUAAUAGAUGGUACUAGAUAAAUAUUUUUGAGGUGCAAAGGUGUAGAAGAGGUUGGAAGUUGAGAAUGGCCAAUGUGGGUAAUUUUUAAUUGUCGAAGAGCUCAUAUUGUAGUAGAGAGAAAAUGAAAUCUGGGUGUGAUGAAACAAUACUAGGCACUCUUAAUAGGUUAGAGAAGUGGAUAUGGCUCUGAUACCAUGAUAAGAAGGAUUAGAGAUAAAUCUCCACACUAAUUUUCAUUCAUAGUUUAUGGUACAUAUAUACAGGUGUGAUGACUAUGUUUGUUACAUUCAAAACUGAAUAACAAAUCAUCAAAAACUGAAUAACAAUUCAAUGGAGUUGGUUGAGAUAUUUUCUCAAAAUAAGUUUGUCCUUAUCCAUUAUCUUUAACACUAUCAUCAUGCUUCUGUACAAAUGAAAGCACUAAACAUAGGGAUACAUGUGUCACUAUGCCUCAAAUGAAAUAAGUGAUAACAAACAAUAAACUAAGACUAAUAAGUUGAGUUGGAUGAGUCUAAUAAGUUGAAUGGAUGUGUGGUCUACAAGAGACCUAACAGCAAGAGGCCCAACAAUAAACCCAAUAUUUCAGGUGGGUUGAAUCAGAUCGAAGCCCUGAAACUCACGAGCGCUGUGGUUGAGCUAGCCCUUAAGUGUGAUGGAUGCGUCAUUCCUAUCAGCACGUGUUUUUAGGAUAAUUAGUUAGCGCUUCAAGUAU
This 3878-nucleotide long non-coding RNA is filed under the name Ananas comosus (pineapple). RNAcentral's name for it is "long non-coding RNA (ACOM_LNC004868)". The record is from RNAcentral. Lineage: Eukaryota; Viridiplantae; Streptophyta; Magnoliopsida; Poales; Bromeliaceae.